AAUGAACGUUGGCGGCAUGGAUUAGGCAUGCAAGUCGAGCGAGAAGGGUUAAGUGCUUGCACAAGACCCGGAAAGCGGCGUAAGGGUGAGUAACGCGUAGUUACCUACCCCCGGGUCCGGAAUAGCUGCGGGAAACUGCAGGUAAUGCCGGAUAAUAUCUCAGGAUCAGAGGUGAGAUUCCGCCCGGGGAGGGGACUGCGUCCUACUAGCUUGUUGGUGGGGUAAUGGCCUACCAAGGCUCCGAUGGGUAGCGGGCGUGAGAGCGUGGCCCGUCACACUGGGACUGGGACACUGCCCAGACACCUACGGGUGGCUGCAGUCGAGAAUCUUCGGCAAUGGGCGAAAGCCUGACCGAGCAAUGCCGCGUGCGGGAUGAAGGCCCUCGGGUUGUAAACCGCGAAAGUAAGGAGGAAGGCCCCAUGAAGAAUGGGGUUUGACCGAUCUACAGUAAGGACGGGCUAAGUUCGUGCCAGCCGCCGCUGUAACAC
RNAcentral lists this ribosomal RNA (488 nucleotides) under uncultured bacterium. Its description in RNAcentral is "bacterial SSU rRNA". It matches the Rfam family "Bacterial small subunit ribosomal RNA", at positions 29 to 526 of the family's 1533-position model. The record is from RNAcentral.